RNAcentral lists this ribosomal RNA (335 nucleotides) under Acontias namaquensis. RNAcentral's name for it is "partial 16S ribosomal RNA". It matches the Rfam family "Bacterial large subunit ribosomal RNA", at positions 1852 to 2396 of the family's 2925-position model. Lineage: Eukaryota; Metazoa; Chordata; Lepidosauria; Squamata; Scincidae. The record is from RNAcentral.
GUCCCGCCUGCCCAGUGAUAUAUUUUUAACGGCCGCGGUAUUCUAACCGUGCAAAGGUAGCGUAAUCACUUGUCUUCUAAAUAAAGACCAGUAUGAACGGCUAAAUGAGGACAAACCUGUCUCCUAUAACAAAUCAGUGAAACUGAUCUCCCAGUACAAAAGCUGGGAUAAACACAUAAGACGAGAAGACCCUGUGGAGCUUACAAACAAACGGUCAAUAAGCCACUUACCAAAGAGAACAAUGACCAUGAGUUUUUAGUUGGGGCGACUUCGGAAAAAACAAAACUUCCGAGAACAGGACCAUCAGCCCUUUCCAAGGGUUACAACCCAAAGAA